GCUUUAGCAGAGCACGUACUAGAACUGGAAGGAUACAGAGAUGAGCGCCGCCCCUGCCCAGGGAUGGCACACAAAUUCAUCAGAGAUGAGCACUGCCCCUGCCCAGGGAUGGCACACAAAUUCAUCAAGUGUUCCACAAUUUU
Molecule: small nuclear RNA, 143 nt
Organism: Camelus dromedarius (Arabian camel)
Lineage: Eukaryota; Metazoa; Chordata; Mammalia; Artiodactyla; Camelidae
Source: Ensembl